CUGAAGGGAGAGCAGCAGUGUUUUGCCCCUCACCAGCUCGGGUUACAGCAGCCCGGCCCCUCCUGCAGACACCGUGUGGGAGCGGCGCGGUGCGGCAUUGUGGGAGGCGCUGAGGUCUGCAGGCUGGAGCACGGCUGAGGUAAAGAUUCCUCCAGUUGCUCCCUGGUUUGGGGUCGCCAGGCCAGUGGGACCUUGGAGCUGACCGCUCUGCGUCUGCUGACAAGAGAGAAGGGAGAAAAGGCCCAGCCUUUCCAAGGACUGAUUUGAAUGGCUUUUCCUGUAGACUGGCUGUGAAUAGAUGUCCACCACAGCAACCAGCGAUGACCGUUGCGAGUGAGGAGAAAUAAAAAUGAAGUGAAUGAAUUGGAUGUAGCAAAGGUUUUAAAAGAGCUGGGAUCACUGGAAAGGCUGAAACAAGAGGAUGGUCACGUUCGAGGUCACUGGCUCCUUCACCACCACAAGAAAGAAGAGAACACCAGCUAAGACACGAAUUCAAGGAAACAACAGUUGAAGAAUUUGGUGAGAGGCUUCCUCUGAGAGUCAAAUGCACAAUCUGAGGAAAUAGGAUUUCAGUGGAGUGCUCCGUAACCCUCGUAGAUCUUCUCGAAGGUGUUUUCUGGCCUUGAGGUAGACUAGCCCUAACAUCUCCUCCCCUGUCAGUCCUCUACUCCACUGAACAGGAUCAGCCACCUGCCUGAUUGCCAAAGAUAAUGGAAAAUCUUAACGCCCAGUUUGUGCCCUUUGCAAAAUUUGCCAGUCUUGGCCUAUUCUUCUUCCUUUUUUUAACUAUGAACAAGUUAACUUACCUGUGACGGUGCUCGUGUACAGAAGUGAAUAGAAUUUAGUGUACUAUGAGUAACCAUGUCUACCAUGUAUAGAAGCCUUUCCUAAGACCCAGGCACCCAGUGAGGCAUCUUAUCCCCACACUGAAUGGAACAUGGCCUUAUGGAUAGCUGGCAAAGUCAGAAUUUUUCCCAGUUCCAGGUAAACAGAGAUCCGUUCCCUACUUCAGCCCCACUUAGCCCCAAUUUCCCUCUCCUGGUGUAUAAUACAGAUUGUUUUAAGCUUUCUUAGCCAGAUCGUGUACCUGUUAGGAUUUCCUGAGAUGCCACCAAAUGUCUUCGAAAGGAUUGAUAAACAGCUCAUGUUUCCUGUUUCUGAUUCUAUUCCUGGAAAAGCACCCAGCUAGACUGAGAGAACACUUGAAACCCUGUGACAUAAUCAGAUUGUAGAAAACAACUUGAGAGGAAGACUUCAGAAAACAGGCAACUGCGAAUAGCAGCCAACAGGGAGAGCAGUGGGAAGAAGGGAGAGCUACCCCUGGAGAUUCAUUACCAAGUACUCAGUCCUUCUGAAGCAAGGCAGGCAGGAAGAGUAUGGGACUUGGGUGACAAAGGAACCCCGCAGUUUGCAGUAUGUGAAACCUUACAACAGCUGAGAAUCAAUAAUUCUGACACAAUAUUGUGAAUGUCGUUGACAUGGGGCCCAUAUUUAUCUUACACAACACUUUCAAGUAAAAACGUUAAAAUGCCAAUAGGUCAGGCUUCAGGAUGGAUCCAUAGGACCUGGGACAGGCCCUCACUCUUCUCCCAGAUAUUUUUUGGGACUCUCAUGAGCAAAACUACCAACCUUUGUUACAUGAAGAUAAGAUAGCUCAACUUUCUACAUUCCGGACAUGCAAUGUGUGGCUAAAUGUAAGCCUGUCGGCAUCACCUUGGGCACCUCAGUGCCAUCUCCUUUAAAUUUCUUAGCAGCCCUUUGACAAUGAAAACUUCAGAGAUUUGUAUGAUAUCCUAUUGUACAGACAGUGAAUUACAAAUCUCCUUUGAUCUGUCUACACCCGUGCUGUCCCAAGCGAGCCUCACUGUUUUCCUGGAUGCCUCUCUCUUGACUAUCCCCCUUCCUGUCUAAAAUCGAUGUUAAAAUAUGUUUUAAUAAAAAAUUCCAUCUCUGCUUUA
Apodemus sylvaticus (European woodmouse) is the source of this 1958-nucleotide long non-coding RNA. RefSeq lists it as uncharacterized. The record is from RefSeq and is a predicted model, not a curated record. NCBI's taxonomy places the organism in Eukaryota, Metazoa, Chordata, Mammalia, Rodentia, Muridae. The transcript has 2 exons.